UUUUAUUAUUUGCAUAUCUACAUAUACAUUUUUGCAGCCUUUUUGUGAAAUAAAUCUUGGAGUUGAGACUUAUUUACAAUGGCUGCCACUAACUUUUAAUUAUUGGUUUUUUUGGGUAAUAAAUUAAUUAACAAACGAAAAAUAUUCCAAAUAUAUUCUAAUCUCAUAUGUCACGCAGAUAUCUCCAAAAUUUGAAUUAGAUUUCAGCAACUAUUUAAAACAAAAAAUGUUUGACAAACCAAAAUACAAUUGAAAUCCCUUAAAAUGAGCAAAACACACCUAAAUACAUUCUUUAUCUAUACAAUAAAUCUUAUUUCUCCAAAAUUUGAGCUAGAUUUUGGCAACUAUUUAAAACAAAUAUUUGUUUGACAAACCAAAAUACAAUUGCAAUCCCGUAAAAUAUUUAUUUUAAUUAUAUAUUUAAAUUAGCGGUGUACCGCGGGUUUUUUUACGGGAUAGAUUUGGCGGGACGGUUUGACAAGACGUUACUUAAUAACAAUUGUAAACUAUAAAAUAAAAAUAUUAUAUAAAUAGA
Molecule: small RNA, 535 nt
Filed under: Arabidopsis thaliana (thale cress)
Lineage: Eukaryota; Viridiplantae; Streptophyta; Magnoliopsida; Brassicales; Brassicaceae
Description: ATSL023300
Source: RNAcentral